CCUACGGGCGGCAGCAGUGAGGAAUAUUGGUCAAUGGGCGCGAGCCUGAACCAGCCACGUCGCGUGAGGGAAGACGGUCCUAUGUAUUGUAAACCUCUUUUGUCGGGGAGCAAAAGACGCCACGCGUCGCGUUCCGCGAGUCCCCGAAGAAAAAGCAUCGGCUAACUCCGUGCCCGCAGCCGCGGUAAUACGGAGGAUGCGAGCGUUCUCCGGAUUUAUUGGGUUUAACGGGUGCGCAGGCGGAAGGUCAAGUCAGCGGUAAAAUUGAGAGGCUCAACCUCUUCGAGCCGUUGAAACUGGUUUUCUUGAGUGAGUGAGAAGUAUGCGGAAUGCGUGGUGUAGCGGUGAAAUGCAUAGAUAUCACGCAGAACUCCGAUUGCGAAGGCAGCAUACCGGCGCUCAACUGACGCUCAUGCACGAAAGUGUGGGUAUCGAACAGGAUUAGAUACCCCAGUAGUC
This 459-nucleotide ribosomal RNA is filed under the name uncultured bacterium. Its description in RNAcentral is "partial 16S ribosomal RNA". It matches the Rfam family "Bacterial small subunit ribosomal RNA", at positions 338 to 795 of the family's 1533-position model. The record is from RNAcentral.